GAUGAACGCUGGCGGCGUGCCUAAUACAUGCAAGUCGAGCGAACGGACGAGAAGCUUGCUUCUCUGAUGUUAGCGGCGGACGGGUGAGUAACACGUGGAUAACCUACCUAUAAGACUGGGAUAACUUCGGGAAACCGGAGCUAAUACCGGAUGAUAUUUUGAACCGCAUGGUUCAAAGGUGAAAGACGGUCUUGCUGUCACUUAUAGAUGGAUCCGCGCUGCAUUAGCUAGUUGGUAAGGUAACGGCUUACCAAGGCAACGAUGCAUAGCCGACCUGAGAGGGUGAUAGGCCACACUGGAACGGAGACACGGUCCAGAGUCCUACGGGAGGCAGCAGUAGGGAAUGUUCCGCAAUGGGCGAAAGCCUGACGGAGCAACGCCGCGUGAGUGAUGAAGGUCUUCGGAUCGUAAAAAUCUGUUAUUAGGGAAGAACAUAUGUGUAAGUAACUGUGCACAACUUGACGGUACCUAAUCAGAAAGCCACGGCUAACUACGUG
This 497-nucleotide ribosomal RNA is filed under the name uncultured bacterium. RNAcentral's name for it is "partial 16S ribosomal RNA". It matches the Rfam family "Bacterial small subunit ribosomal RNA", at positions 28 to 507 of the family's 1533-position model. The record is from RNAcentral.